Non-coding RNA from Ceratotherium simum simum (southern white rhinoceros), 140 nucleotides. NCBI's taxonomy places the organism in Eukaryota, Metazoa, Chordata, Mammalia, Perissodactyla, Rhinocerotidae. The record is from RefSeq and is a predicted model, not a curated record.
UGGAGAGGAUUCAAGAUGGAGGAGAAAGUGAGAAACAGCCCCCUAUGGAGGAGUGAGAGUGAACUGCCUCAGGAAAUGGCAUCUGGAGAGAGCAGGGCUGGGGGCCACUGAGCUUUGUGCUCAUCAACUUAGAGAAAGAG